AGGUCUGAUCAUACCAGCACUAAUGCACCAGAUCCCAUCAGAACUCCGCAGAUAAGAGUACUUGGGCGAGAGUAGUACUAGGAUGGGUGACCUGCUAGGAAUUACUCGUGUUGCACCUC
Molecule: ribosomal RNA, 119 nt
Filed under: Lupinus angustifolius (narrow-leaved blue lupine)
Lineage: Eukaryota; Viridiplantae; Streptophyta; Magnoliopsida; Fabales; Fabaceae
Source: RNAcentral